RNAcentral lists this long non-coding RNA (556 nucleotides) under Anas platyrhynchos platyrhynchos (common mallard). RNAcentral describes it as "lncRNA (ENSAPLG00000028395.1)". The record is from RNAcentral. Lineage: Eukaryota; Metazoa; Chordata; Aves; Anseriformes; Anatidae.
CAAACUUUAAAGCUAUUUUGAAGUACAGGGAAAUUCAGAAGGAUCUGGUCUUUCUAGCAUGAGGAGUUAUUUCAGGAAGGAAAACAAGAAAUAUCAUAAAGAACUGACCCUUGCUACUGACAAAAAUGCAUAGGUGCAGGACAUAUGAAGGAGAAUGCUAUUGGAGCUGCUAAUGGGAAGGCGUUGUACCUAUAUCAGACCAAGCUACAAACAGGUCUCUCAGAAUGCUCAGGCUGCACCAGAUCAUUAAAGAACUUCCAUCAGAAACAGUGGAAGAAGCUGAUAGGGAAGAAGGCAACUGGAAGACAUCCCAAUCAGCAGUUAUCACGGUUUACCAGUAUUGGUGGUGAUUAAAUCCACAGCACAGACUAAACUUGCAUUAAAGUAAGUAGCUUCAGUAAUGGACUGCUGUCUUCUGCCUGGGCCCAAUUUCUUGUUCUGCACAAACACAUGCCUUAAAGUGCAGUUUCAAACCACACGGGCAGCUACUGUUGGAAGAGGCGCUGCUGCCACUACCGUCCCGCACACGGCAUUGCCUCUCUGCUGCCCUGCGUUA